CAGCAUGGUCUUAGCUUGCUAAGGCCGAUGGCGACCGGCGCACGGGUGAGUAACACGUAUCCAACCUUCCGUACACUCAGGGAUAGCCUUUCGAAAGAAAGAUUAAUACCUGAUGGUAUGAUGGGAUUGCAUGAUAGCAUCAUUAAAGAUUCAUCGGUGGGGAUGCGUUCCAUUAGGUUGUUGGCGGGGUAACGGCCCACCUAGUCGACGAUGGAUAGGGGUUCUGAGAGGAAGGUCCCCACAUUGGAACUGAGACACGGUCCAAACUCC
RNAcentral lists this ribosomal RNA (270 nucleotides) under uncultured Bacteroides sp. RNAcentral describes it as "partial 16S ribosomal RNA". It matches the Rfam family "Bacterial small subunit ribosomal RNA", at positions 68 to 339 of the family's 1533-position model. The record is from RNAcentral. Lineage: Bacteria; Pseudomonadati; Bacteroidota; Bacteroidia; Bacteroidales; Bacteroidaceae.